Chelonia mydas (Green sea turtle) is the source of this 1173-nucleotide long non-coding RNA. RefSeq lists it as uncharacterized. The record is from RefSeq and is a predicted model, not a curated record. NCBI's taxonomy places the organism in Eukaryota, Metazoa, Chordata, Testudines, Cheloniidae. The transcript is spliced from 3 exons.
CUAGGAACUGUAAGAGUCUCGCUCUAGCCCUGGAGUGGGAAGGACUAGCUGCUUGGGAGCAAGUGCAGUUAGGCUUUGAUCCUUGAGUGGGAUCCCUAAGAUCUAUUGCAACAUAUAGUUCAAAGCCAGAAGAUCAUUUCGUCUAACCUCCUGUAUAACACACGCCACCGGACACCCCUGCACCGAGCCCAGCAACCAGAGUCAUGACAGACCAAGGUUAGAUCUGGCUGCACAAGACUGGGUUUGUAUUGCCUCAUAAAUCAGCUCUCAUAUAGAUGAACCACCAUGAAAAUUCUUCAGGACUUAAUAUAUUAUUACCACAUAAUUUACACAUUCUACAGACUGCAAAUCAGAGAACUGUAAGAUAAUUUCACUUUGUGCUACAUCUGUUUUAGGGCAACAAAAAAGGGGGGUGGGGGGAGAGAGAUUCAAGGAUGACGAUAAUGAAUUAUUCCACUGCUUAUUUUAAAAAAGUGGUGAUUGUUAACAAAUUGUAUACUGUAUAAACUAGAGAGAGAACAUUAAAAAUAUGUGGCUCCUACAGUAAUCAGGCUGAACCAGGAUGCACUUGCAUUCUUAAGCAUGGGCUUUAAGAAAUAUUGCUGACUUGUGUGAUCAAUAUUAAGACCGUACUUUUAGGAUCAUAUGUCAAUAUAUACUUAUUGUCAUCUUGUGAGAGCCAAACAAGUUACACUGGCAAGUGUAUGCCACCGCAUGCCAAAUCUGCACAGGCAAUCUCUGCAGGCUAGUCAUUAUUGCACGCAGUUUGGUACAGAUAUGUGGAGACAUCUAAUUGUGAUAAAUAAUUACACACAUAAAUUAGGGACACAUUGUGCACAUAUAAUUGUGUGUUUAAACUGUUUGAAAUAUCAGGUCUUUAUUUAGUUUUAUGGCACCUGUCAUUUUAAUAAAGAGAAUAAGAUGAACAACAUCAAAUUCUUCAUUGUACUAUGCAAUAUUUCAGAACCAAGAAAACAAACUGAUUAAAAAAACCUCACCCAGUUAUCUUACAUAAAAGUUAAUGAGUUAAAAAAUCUCUCUCUAGCUCUCUCAUAUGAAAAGGAAAAUUUGGUAUGACAUACUAAACUAGUUCAUUUGUAUACAGGAGUCAAAAUAAUGCACCUGCCUUAUGGAGACUUUAUUAAACAAGGGCUAUAAUCAUCUAGCUCUUUA